GGGAUAACACUUGGAAACAGGUGCUAAUACCGUAUAACACUAUUUUCCGCAUGGAAGAAAGUUGAAAGGCGCUUUUGCGCCACUGAUGGAUGGACCCGCGGUGCAUUAGCUAGUUGGUGAGGUAACGGCUCACCAAGGCCACGAUGCAUAGCCGACCUGGGAGGGUGAUCGGCCACACUGGGACUGAGACACGGCCCAGACUCCUACGGGAGGCAGCAGUAGGGAAUCUUCGGCAAUGGACGAAAGUCUGACCGAGCAACGCCGCGUGAGUGAAGAAGGUUUUCGGAUCGUAAAACUCUGUUGUUAGAGAAGAACAAGGAUGAGAGUAAAACGUUCAUCCCUUGACGGUAUCUAACCAGAAAGCCACGGCUAACUACGUGCCAGCAGCCGCGGUAAUACGUAGGUGGCAAGCGUUGUCCGGAUUUAUUGGGCGUAAAGCGAGCGCAGGCGGUUUCUUAAGUCUGAUGUGAAAGCCCCCGGCUCAACCGGGGAGGGUCAUUGGAAACUGGGAGACUUGAGUGCAGAAGAGGAGAGUGGAAUUCCAUGUGUAGCGGUGAAAUGCGUAGAUAUAUGGAGGAACACCAGUGGCGAAGGCGGCUCUCUGGUCUGUAACUGACGCUGAGGCUCGAAAGCGUGGGGAGCGAACAGGAUUAGAUACCCUGGUAGUCCACGCCGUAAACGAUGAGUGCUAAGUGUUGGAGGGUUUCCGCCCUUCAGUGCUGCAGCA
This 727-nucleotide ribosomal RNA is filed under the name uncultured bacterium. RNAcentral describes it as "bacterial SSU rRNA". It matches the Rfam family "Bacterial small subunit ribosomal RNA", at positions 140 to 853 of the family's 1533-position model. The record is from RNAcentral.